Coturnix japonica (Japanese quail) is the source of this 2159-nucleotide long non-coding RNA. NCBI's taxonomy places the organism in Eukaryota, Metazoa, Chordata, Aves, Galliformes, Phasianidae. The record is from Ensembl.
AUGUGGAGCACAGAGCUCACUAGCUUGCUGCUAGCUCUUGCUUUCCCACUCAGCAUUCCGUUUCCUGAGCAGUGUUUCUACCUCUCAUCUGUGUUUCACCCCUUGCUUCUACUUUUUGUUAAUGAAAUGGUUGUUUUGUUAUGUUCCUGCAGCUGGCAGUAUGAGGGCACUGUGCAAGAGGAUACACUGAGACAUCCAGAUGAGCAUCGCCAGACUGAGGAAGAGCUCUCAGGUUGCAAUUCAACCAAGAGCCACAUGGACACCCUCCCAGCUGGCAUCCCCAGGCAGCACCAUGCUGCCCUUGGUGCUGGCUGCCUCCUGGACUCCAAGGACCAGCUCCUGGCUUACAGCUGGGCAGGCUCCCACUCAGAGCUGCUGCAUCGGGUAGGCUCACUGGCAGCAGCACUCACCUGCACCUAAGUGCACAAGGUCUAGAUGCCUGCUAGACCUGGUUGGCCCUGGCAGGAGGCAGGAUGGAUGAGUGUCAGCCUUUGUCUGCAGGCAGGUGCAUUGUGGUCACACUGAUGGAGAGAGUGAGGAAGGGUGUGUACAGGUUUGGAGGGAGUAUAGCGAGGGUGUGUUCCACACUGAGUGUGCUGAUUCAGUUGCAUAAAUGCUGCCAGACUGCUGCUUUCACAGAGAUUCCCUCCCAGAGGUGUUCUCUGGAGAGAGGGUGAUGGAGAAGCUGACCAUCCCUUCCUGAGGUCAGGACUCUCUCCUUAUCCAGCAGUGGUGCAGAUGGAGUGGCAGCAGCAGCAACAUUCUCCCUGGAAGUGGGUUCAUUUUGUCACAUAGAAAUGUGUCGUCUUUCUUUCUGGGGCCUGCCAGGGGUCACCCCUGCUUGGUGCAGCACAUGAUCUCAUGCAUUUUCUGUAAAAGCUCUCUGCUAUCAUCAGCAUUAACAGCUGGGAGAUGCAAAGUGCUCUAGGUUUGCCACGAAGUGUAGUGCAAGUGUGGGAGCUGAUGAAUCUGUUCCCCAAGGGAGAGACUGUAGAGCUGCUCAUUUACCUUUGUUAGGCAGCAAACAGAUUGUCUGGGCACAGCCAUACCGUGGUGAAGAGUUGAAGGGCCCCAGCAGUGCCUGCUGACAGCUCCAGCUCAACAGGGGGGUGGAUCCAAACCAUGGAUCCAGAGCAGUGCUUGUGGUGCAAUCCCUGGGAUGCGCUCUUGACGCAUGGAAUGAACUCUGCCAUGCAAUGGCUUGCCAAGGUAUCUCCUGCAACUCAUUACCCAAAGGAGAGGUACCACAUACUUAUGUAUGUGGUCCUGUCUGAUCUGUAAGAUGCCACCGCAAUCAUUAUGACUUUUUUUUUUCUCUUGUUUUUUUUUGCUCAGAAUGUGUGAACGUGCUCAAUUCAAGGCUAAGCUUUCCAUUAAGUCACAUAAGUCCGACAAAGAGUUUAAAUGAGCACGGAAAGUAAAUGGUCACCAGCCUUAACCAAAAAGCCUGAGGCCAUGCAGAUUCUCUUCCCAGUCCGUGCAGAUCAGCUCCCAGUGGUGCUGGGUUGGUGAGUGCGGGUCUGGUAGCAGCGUGGUUGUCCUUGGAGCCCAUCUCGUGCUGCUCCCAUUGCCAUUCCUUGUGAAUGCUCUGCGUUUGCCAGAGGGCUGCAAAUGAGAGGGCUGCUGCGUGGUGUUUCAUCACAUCCACACAUCUUGGUGUCCCCACGGUGUGAGCUUGGCUGGUGUGGCCUUGGGGCUCCUCCUGAGGCAGCGCAGGUCUAAAAACACUGAUGAAAAGCUGAUUAAUCCUUGUAAGCGAGCAGCGAUAGCUUCUCUCCAGAACUGAAGAGAUUACCACUGAUUUGUCAUCCUGAUUGUUUCAAAGAGAGGUGCAAUUAGUUGCUCUAAUUUAGCUUCGCUGCUGCUCGCUGAGUGGCAUGACAACUGAGAUGUAAUCAGGAGCUCCGCACACAACGCAGCCACCGAUGGGUGCAGCUGUGCCUGCCACCAUUUCGCACACCAAGGGUGGGCCCAAAAUGGUGGAGCACUGUGUGCUCGUACCCCUCCAACUGCAUUGGGCCAAGUGUGUGUGCUCUACUCUGAGACCUGCAGGGCUUCCUAUGGAGUAGGCUCUAAGCCACGGGGUUGUGGCUGAGCGCCCUGGAGGAUGCUUUGCCUGGUGCAAUAAAAUUAAUACUAGCUAUAGGAGAAGGUGCGUG